RNAcentral lists this ribosomal RNA (444 nucleotides) under uncultured Nitrospira sp. Its description in RNAcentral is "bacterial SSU rRNA". It matches the Rfam family "Bacterial small subunit ribosomal RNA", at positions 29 to 463 of the family's 1533-position model. The record is from RNAcentral. Lineage: Bacteria; Pseudomonadati; Nitrospirota; Nitrospiria; Nitrospirales; Nitrospiraceae.
AACGAACGCUGGCGGCGCGCCUAAUACAUGCAAGUCGAGCGAGAAGGUGUAGCAAUACACUUGUAAAGCGGCGAACGGGUGAGGAAUACAUGGGUAAUCUACCAUCGAGUGGGGAAUAACCAACCGAAAGGUUGGCUAAUACCGCGUACGCCUCCGAGUCUUCGGGUUCGGAGGGAAAGCUGCACUGUGAGUGUAGCGCUCUUUGAUGAGCUCAUGUCCUAUCAGCUUGUUGGUAGGGUAACGGCCUACCAAGGCUUUGACGGGUAGCUGGUCUGAGAGGACGAUCAGCCACACUGGCACUGCGACACGGGCCAGACUCCUACGGGAGGCAGCAGUAAGGAAUAUUGCGCAAUGGGCGAAAGCCUGACGCAGCGACGCCGCGUGGGGGAUGAAGGUCUUCGGAUUGUAAACCCCUUUCGGGAGGGAAGAUGGAGCGAGCAAUCG